This is an RNA transcript of Leptopilina heterotoma, 728 nucleotides long. It is a transcript of the gene named myosin light chain 1, with no coding region annotated. The transcript has 6 exons. The record is from RefSeq and is a predicted model, not a curated record. Lineage: Eukaryota; Metazoa; Arthropoda; Insecta; Hymenoptera; Figitidae.
CUGACAAAAGCGCCCUCUGGGAAAAUAAAAUGAUUAAGCUCGAAAGAAAAAGCUCGCACUUCUGGUUCUUGCUUCGUUUCGUUAACAUUCAGAGGACAACUUCAUCCGAAUCAAGCAGCUACCAUGGCUGAUUUACUGCCCAAGGAAGUCGAAAAGGCACAAUUCGCCUUCUCAAUUUAUGAUGCCGAUGGCUCAAAUGUCAUCGACGCCUUCGAUCUAGGAAAUGUUCUACGUGCCCUCAAUUGCAAUCCAACAAAUGCAACUAUUCAGAAAUUUGGUGGCACUGAAAAACGUGGCGAGAAAACAAUGUGCGUCGAGGAAUUUCUUCCAAUUUUCAGUGACGCAAAGAAAGACAAAGAUCAAGGAUGCUACGAGGAUUUCCUCGAAUGUUUGAAACUCUACGAUAAACAGGAAAAUGGAACCAUGCUCUUGGCUGAACUCUCUCAUUUAUUAGUUACCCUUGGCGAAAAAUUAGUCGAAUCCGAAGUUGAGGAAGUCUUCAGAGACUGCUUGGACCCCGAAGAUGAAGAUGGUUUCAUCCCCUACAACCCAUUCAUCAAGAAAUUUAUGGCGUAAAUUAUGCAGCGAGAAACGAGAGAUUCAUAGGCGUUUAAAAAAUGAGGUCGUCAAUCCAUUCCUGAAACGACUAUGCGAAAGGGCAGCAGCAGGUUCCGAAGAUUAAUUAAUUCAUCAUUAUUUUUUCUCCUCUCCAACGAGGGAAAAUUAUU